Long non-coding RNA from Wyeomyia smithii (pitcher-plant mosquito), 925 nucleotides. RefSeq lists it as uncharacterized. The transcript has 2 exons. The record is from RefSeq and is a predicted model, not a curated record. Lineage: Eukaryota; Metazoa; Arthropoda; Insecta; Diptera; Culicidae.
AUACAUCGAUUUACCGUAAACCAGAAAGUAUUGCCAUUUCAUUUGCCGAAGUUCUUGAAAAUUUUGCCGGAAACUUGUUGAACAUUUCGCUGAAUUUAUCAGCUGUUGAGUUCUCGGUAACAUUUGAUGUUCUUCCAGGUUACGUUUGAUCUCGUUGUUUUCAAAUGCCAGCGUGAAGGGGGAGAGAACGUACUAUGCCGAGCCGUGUUUUGAUGUUCCUGUUUAAUAUGGCCCCUGGGUAGUUCUAGGCAGUCAUGCAGAACUCCUGGAUGACUGCUUCUGCCCGGAGAGGUGGAAGCUACAGAGACUGGUCUUAUUGGCGAAGGCUGGGAAAUCACCAGGGAAAGCAUUGGAUUAUAGGCCUAUAUGUCUGCUGGACACUGCGGCCAAGCAGCUUGAGAGAAUUAUCUUCAAUUAUCUUGAGAUUGGCGAAGUAAACGGUCUCGUUAGUAAUCAGUUCGGCUUCCGGAAAGCGCCAGCUGGGACGCUUAGGAGCAUCCACAUACCGGUGUCAUUGUACAAAUCGAAACGAGCUGAAUGGUUGAUACAUUUUGGAGGCUCUCGAGAUCUGCCAUUCACACCCCAUAACCUGACUGAGACUAGGCAUUUUUAACGAAGGAUGACACAUAGUGAAAUAUAUUGGUUAUCUACACUUUAUUUUUCACCAUUGUACAUUGAUUAAUUGGAGUUUAAUUACGAUUAGUGCAGUAUUCAAUAAAUUCUAUUGUUCACAAAUAAAUGUACAGAAAGCGUUCACCUUUGGCGGACAGGUAUUAAGAAUUUUUUCCCUAAAAUAGAUAAAAUGUUUCAAACAAAUAACAGAAACGGCAUUUACAUAGGAUUGUGUAUGGCGUGUUGAAUUAGAGUUUUAAAGCCUGAGGGAAACUGUAAUUUCUUCUUCGAUUGCACUCGAAACAGCAACGGU